Long non-coding RNA from Bombus impatiens (common eastern bumble bee), 3402 nucleotides. RefSeq lists it as uncharacterized. The transcript has 2 exons. Lineage: Eukaryota; Metazoa; Arthropoda; Insecta; Hymenoptera; Apidae. The record is from RefSeq and is a predicted model, not a curated record.
UUCAAAUUAAUAGUAUUCUCGUAAAGACCGGUGUAAAGAUAUAUCGAUUAGAAGAUUGCAUGUAAGAAUAUCGAUUAAAGUUACUAGAAUUGACAAUUACGAUAAAUAGUUUAUUUUCUUCCGCCAUAUUCGAUUUCCUAUUGUUUGAAUCUUUUGAAUCAAUAAUCGAUACCUUUAAUCGAAUAGAUUAGUAUCGAAAUAAAGCUUUAUUAUCAAGUGAACAAUUUGUCAGACGUAUUUGUUCUUUACCAAAAAUUCUUUCGUUGUUUUUCGCUGCGAACAAGGAAUCGCGAGAUAAAACGCAAGGAAAUCGAGAGUGAAUCGCGGCUCCUGUCGCGUUCGCUGCGGUUUUCCUACUUGUUUACGUUUACUUGCUCGAGUUUACGUUUCUCCCCACGAACAGAUCAUGUUCCACUGGUCAGAUACUUUUUAUACGUGUGAGAAUACACGAAAUAACACUGGGGAUUGGUUGAAAUGUAAUACCUCUUAUUUUAUUACUUGUGCUGUUCCGGUCUUAGAUGUAACUAAUUGUUAAAGUACUAUCCUAUUUAUUAAAUCCAACAUAUGACUUAUGUUUAGCCUAUUCUACAAUAUGCCUAUUUGUUUAAAUUUUGAAGAAAAUUUUUAAGUGAGUUAGAUAUUUUACUUCGACGAAUACUUAAGUCUUGAAUUUAGUUGGUACCCGUAUAUCAGUAUACUGGGAAGCAAGUGGAAUAAAAUUUAAGAAGCACAGAUAUAUAUAACUGUGAAAUUACAUAGUGUUGUAAAUGAAUCAAGAGUCUAGUAAGAUUGAAGAUUUUGAAUAUUUUGGAUAUUCUGAUCGACUUGAAAUAUUUGAAUUUUUUUGAAAAUGGAGUAAGAUCUAACGUAGGAUAACGUUCACAAAAUGCAGAUGUUCAUGAUUUUCACGACACGUGACACUAUAAAAAUUUUACGAUUAAAAACUCAAAAAAUCAAUAAUCACAUAUCUUAUGAACAUUGAAGUCUACGAAGUCGACACACGUGCUAUUAAAAACACGAUCGAAAGUCGAAAAAGCCAUAAAUAUGUGACCUAAUAAUCAUCAUAGAAGUUUUGAAAUCUAACGCUAUUAGUGAUUUCGAGAAACAUCCCAAGACGACUGGAACAUCCCCGGACGAUUGCUUAUCCAGAAAUAAACUGGAACCUACGCGCAAGCGUGUCCAGAAAGUUUCUACGGUCACCUUGCCAGAUUCUCGCAAACGUGGAAAGAGGAAGAAAAUGGAAAAGUCACGCGAGCAUCGUUACGAAACCGCAGAUGGUAGAAUUGAUGACGUAGUUAUUUUGUAGCAUGCCAGAGGAAAGAGUGUUCACUGUGAACGCGUGUAUAGCCCGUGUUGGAGGCCAGGACAGACGACCUCGAGGUCUGUCCUCCAUCUCUCUUGUUCUUCUUGUAGGUAUUUCGGAGUCAACCGGACAGCAGGUUUGACAAGGCAGAAGCAGGGUGGACGGCCGGCCACUUGUGCUGCAUCUUCCAAACCUGUGUGAACGCUUAUUUCGUUAUCUAACUAUACGGCAAAUAUAUAUAGAAAUUUUAGCUGUAUCUGCAAUUCGAUUAGUAUUCCUGGCAUUUCUUCGCGAUCAUUUGCAUUAAAUCAGGCAAGAAGGAAUUUCUUCUUAUUUUUGUUAUAAGAAUGAACGUUAAUACUAUUAAACUGUUAAUUGAAAGUAUGAGAUAAUUUGUCAGUAGAAUUAUAUUAUAUCUUAAAGAAGGUUUGGAUUAUGUUUGUGCACGUGGAACUUAGUUCCAUUCUCUUCCGAGAAAGAAUUUUAAUAGGUAGGCGUGUAUUUCUAACACUCAUUAAUUGCCAUCACUUUUCAGUGCAUAAAUUAUUUGAAACGAAAUUGUGAGUGAAAAAAUUGUACAAGUUCCAUUUCAAGAAUUUUUGAAUUCUAUUAUAGAACUGAUCAUUUUCUGAAUUAAUUAAUCUUUCAGACAUCCUUUAGUUCCACUAGACAAUUUUUCAAUGCAUAAAUUGUUCUAAAAAAGAAUACCGUAACAUGUAACUGUUACUGUAGAAUGUUCUUUCAAAACAUGUUUCUUGGACCGUAGAACCGAUAAUUCUUCUAGAUCUAAACAACCAAAUUAAUUAAAUCAAUACGAAAGUGCACUAAAUCAUCCAAUAACGACCAGAAAGAUCAAGGCACAUUUUUCUUAAGAAAACCACGGAUAAAUUAUUUAUACGAGUGAACGAAAGGAGGUAGCUUGAUAAAUCUGGGAAAGUUUCACCGCAAAACCAAGCACGUGGACAAAGUACAUAUCGUGCACGAUGGAUGAUACCUUAGCUGGAAAGACACUUGGUACACUGUCCAACGAGUUCUUCUUGUUAGAGAAAUCAGUUAUCCACUUUUCUGUGGAUAGUCAUUCAGUGUCUCAUUACAGUUCUAAUGAAAUUUCAAAAUAUUUUACAUUGCACGUACAAUAUGUAGGCAAAAGUUUUCAAUGGUAAGUGUUCAAACGUUUUUGUGAGCCAGUGCAUUUGCUAAAUGAAUUGUGCAACAGAUCUCCAUGUUUAAUUAACAUGUAUUAUUACUUAUUUUUCAAUAAUAGAUGCUGACUUCCAUCUAUAUAUACGUACAGUAUAUGAUUACCUUGUUUCUCUUAUGAUAAUUUUGAAAGAUGUUCUUGAUUUUAUAAAGGAAAAAUAAUUGGUGCGACUACGUAUCUCUCUUUCUCUUGAUGGUAUAUGCGACACUCAACGUGUUAAAGUCACUUUAUGAUCAUAAUGUCACAGGUCGUUCAACUCCUUUUGAUAUUGCGUUGGAUAAUUUCAUUAUUUGUUGUUUAGUUACUCUUUUAUAUAUAUGUAUUGCUUAUUGCUUAAUUAUAAAAAACUGAUACGUCAAUGUAAAGAAGUCAUGUUGUAGCGAUCUUUAAUAUAACUUUGAAGUAAUUGAUUUUUGAAACAAUAUGAAAAUCACUGUUACUUUUAAUUAAGAAUCAAAAUUGGUAUCGAUAUUCGUUAUAGAUAUUAUUUCAAAUAUUUCAUUGAUCAAAAAAUGCAAACAUAAACGUUUGAAUACUUUCUGGCUCAUUGUCUAUGUGACACGUGUAGUAAACAAGGUAUUACGUAUCUGUUAUACAUUAUACAGAAACUUUAAUAGCCGCUCCUAUUGUGUUUCGAUUAUCUUAGACAUAAAAUAUUUGGACAGAUAGUAAAUAUUUCAAUAUUUUUCCAGAAAUAAGCGUGAUAAGUAAUGUUCCGAAAGAAAGCCAAUUCAAUCCGAAAAUUUGCUAAAGAUAAUUCAUUUAAGGAAAAAGGGCAUCGUCUACAGGGAAAGAGAUACGUUUAUCGCAAACUAAUCUGGAAUUUUUGGUAUCGUUAAAAUUUCAACGUUUCUCUCGAUAACAUUCGUUGAUAAAAAAGCUUCAGUGUACCGAGAAA